AACUUAGUAAUGUAAAACAUAUCAAACUGUAAAUUUGGAAAAGCCUUAAGCCUAAGUUA
This 59-nucleotide transfer RNA is filed under the name Metacrangonyx dhofarensis. Its description in RNAcentral is "tRNA-Tyr". Lineage: Eukaryota; Metazoa; Arthropoda; Malacostraca; Amphipoda; Metacrangonyctidae. The record is from RNAcentral.